RNAcentral lists this microRNA precursor (86 nucleotides) under Solanum tuberosum (potato). RNAcentral's name for it is "MIR8024 microRNA precursor family". It matches the Rfam family "MIR8024 microRNA precursor family". Lineage: Eukaryota; Viridiplantae; Streptophyta; Magnoliopsida; Solanales; Solanaceae. The record is from Rfam by way of RNAcentral.
UUAAAGAAUUUGAAGACUUCAACUUGCAGACUUGAAGAAUUUGAAGACUUCAACUUGCAGACUUAAAGAAUUUGAAGACUUCAACU